This 1365-nucleotide ribosomal RNA is filed under the name metagenome. RNAcentral's name for it is "SSU rRNA". It matches the Rfam family "Eukaryotic small subunit ribosomal RNA", at positions 356 to 1801 of the family's 1831-position model. The record is from RNAcentral.
CGGGUAACGGAGAAUUAGGGUUCGAUUCCGGAGAGGGAGCCUGAGAAACGGCUACCACAUCCACGGUAGGCAGCAGGCGCGUAAAUUACCCAAUCCUGACUCAGGGAGGUAGUCACGAGAAAUCUUGGAGUAGCCUUUCGGUUACGCACAUGACGGGUUGAAUAUAGACCAUUCUUCGAAAUCAAUUGGAGGGCAAGUCUGGUGCCAGCAGCCGCGGUAAUUCCAGCUCCAAUAGUGUAUUUUAAUGUUGUUGCAGUUAAAAAGCUCGUAGUUGAAUUUCUGUGCAGGUGCCUUGGGUUUGCCCCUUGGCUGCCUGUACAUCCGUCUUGGAACUAGGACAGGUAUUUAGUUACCGGCCUAGGGAAGUGGCAUUUUACUUUGAAGAAAUUAGAGUGUUCCAGGCAGGCUUUUGCUUGAAUACAUCAGCAUGGAAUAAUGGAAAAGGACAUCGUCUAUCUUAUUGGUGAUCAGACAUGUAAUGAUUAACAGGGACAGUUGGGGGCAUACGUAUUCAUUUGUCAGAGGUGAAAUUCUUAGAUUAGGUGAAGACGAACUAAUGCGAAAGCAUUUGCCAAGGAUGUUUUCAUUAAUCAAGAACGAAAGUUAGGGGAUCAAAGACGCUUAGAUACCGUCGUAGUCCUAACCAUAAACUAUACCGACUAGGGAUUGGCAGGGGAUUACCCCUGUCAGCACCUAAUGAGAAAUCAAAGUCUUUGGGUUCUGGGGGGAGUAUGGUCGCAAGGCUGAAACUUAAAGGAAUUGACGGAAGGGCACCACCAGGAGUGGAGCCUGCGGCUUAAUUUGAUUCAACACGGGGAAACUUACCAGGGCCAGACCUGAGUAUGAUUGACAGAUUGAGAGCUUUUUCUUGGUAACAGGGAUGGUGGUGCAUGGCCGUUCUUAGUUGGUGGAGUGAUUUGUCCGGUUAAUUCCCUUAACAAACGAGACCUUAACCUGCUAAAUAGACGCGCUUACUUGUAGGCGUUGUCUUCUUAGAGGGACUAUGCGAAAAAAACGUAUGGAAGUUUGAGGCAAUAACAGGUCCGUGAUGCCCUUAGAAGUCUUGGGCCGCACGCGUGCUACACUGACACAUUCAACAAGUAUACCUAACUCGAAAGAGGCUGGGAAAUCUUUACAAAUUGUGUCGUGCUAUGGAUUGAUGAUUGCAAUUUUUUGUCAUGAAAUAGGAAUUCCUAGUAAUCAUAAGUCAUCAUCUUGUGGUGAUUACGUCCCUGCCCUUUGUACACACCGCCCGUCGCUCCUACCGAUUGAGUGGCCCGGUGAACUUUUUGGACUAUUGGCUACGCCGCAUAGGAAGUUAAGCAAACCUUAUCACUUAGAGGAAGGAGAAGUCGUAACAAGGUU